Non-coding RNA from Nerophis lumbriciformis (worm pipefish), 492 nucleotides. The record is from the annotation of a RefSeq genome assembly. NCBI's taxonomy places the organism in Eukaryota, Metazoa, Chordata, Actinopteri, Syngnathiformes, Syngnathidae.
AUGUGGCCUGCACCAGUCCUUCUGCUCGUCCAGUCGGCUCUGCUGAUUCAAGGAUCUUCCGCCCAGGAUUUGUUGACCCAGACGGACAAAAUCAAGUAUGUCAGUCUUGGUGGGACGGUGACCAUCAGCGCCAAAGGGAGUUCAAAUAUUGGUGUUGAUCUCAGUUGGUACCAAGUGAAACCUGGACAGGUUCCUAAACUUCUGAUCUAUCAGGCAUCACAACUUUCUUCUGGAACACCACCUCGAUUCAGUGGCACACAAUCUGGCUCUGACUACACUCUGACUAUCAGUGGUGUUCAGGCAGAAGAUGUCGCUGAUUACUACUGUUUGGCCUUUUUUGGAGCUGGAAGGUAUACACGGUGAUUGAGAGCUGUACAAAAACCUCCUUUGGUUUGAGGGAAGUGAAAGUGGAAGAUGAUGAUGACUGGUCCACUGAACAAAGAUCACCAAGCAGAACCAGCGUCAAUCUGAACAAGUUGAUUGACUUGUAAG